AGCGAACGCUGGCGGCAUGCCUAACACAUGCAAGUCGAACGAACUCUUCGGAGUUAGUGGCUGACGGGUUGGUAACCCGUGGGAACGUGCCUUUUGGUUCUGAAUAACUCAGGGAAACUUGUGUGAAUACCGAAUGUUCCUUUCGGGGGAAAGAUUUAUCGCCAUUACGGGGGCCCUCGUCUUUUUAGUUAGUUGUUGAGGUAAAGGCUCACCAAGGCUUCGAUCAGUAGCGGGUUUGGGAGGCGGCCCAGCCACACUGGGACUGAGCCCAGGCCCCGACUGCUACGGGAGGCAGCGGUUGGGAAUCUAGGGGAAUGGGCGAAAGGCUGACGCAGCCAUGGCGCGUGAAUGAUGAAGGUCUUAGGAUUGUAUAAUGCUUUCGACGGGGACGAUAAUGACGGUACCCGGAGAAGAAGCCCCGGCUAACUUCGUG
Molecule: ribosomal RNA, 433 nt
Filed under: uncultured bacterium
Lineage: Bacteria
Description: partial 16S ribosomal RNA
Rfam family: Bacterial small subunit ribosomal RNA
Source: RNAcentral